RNAcentral lists this ribosomal RNA (465 nucleotides) under uncultured bacterium. RNAcentral's name for it is "partial 16S ribosomal RNA". It matches the Rfam family "Bacterial small subunit ribosomal RNA", at positions 339 to 795 of the family's 1533-position model. The record is from RNAcentral.
CUACGGGUGGCUCCAGUGGGGAAUAUUGCGCAAUGGGGGAAACCCUGACGCAGUGACGCCGUGUGAGUGAUGAAGGUUUUCGGAUCGUAAAGCUCUGUCAGACGGGAAGAAUAAAGGUAGUAAAAAUAUUACAAUCUGAUGACGGUACCGUCAGAGGAAGCACCGGCUAACUCCGUGCCAGCAGCCGCGGUAAUACGGAGGGUGCAAACGUUGUUCGGAAUUACUGGGCGUAAAGCGCAUGUAGGCGGAUAUGUAGGUCAGAUGUGAAAGCCCUUGGCUCAACCAAGGAAGUGCAUCUGAAACCCCAUAUCUUGAGUAUGACAGAGGGAAGUGGAAUUUCCAGUGUAGAGGUGAAAUUCAUAGAUAUUGGAAAGAACACCGGUGGCGAAGGCGGCUUUCUGGGUCAUUACUGACGCUGAGAUGCGAAAGCGUGGGGAGCAAACAGGAUUAGAUACCCCUGUAGUC